AAACAGUAACGUCCUACAGAAGCAGGGGUAAUAAGUCUCCUCCCUGGAGGUCACUCCACGAGGUAGGCUAUGGGCACCUGCCAGGUGCUGGAGAAAUCUCUGCUAACCCAGACUUCCGGCCGCCUUGAUGUUCUCUCCCUGCGUCUUGAUGUCCCUCCCAUCCUGCAUUCCGCUUCCUCAAGGAUAAAGGUGUUCUUUGCACACCUUUCCUCAGGCCAAGGCUUUUCAGUUUCCUCUGCACUGGCCUUUGUUACCAAGUCCGGUCUCCUCCCUGGAGAGCAGCUUCCUGUUUGUGCUCUUCCUGCCAAGGAGCUCCAUCAGUCAGCUGCCUGGGCCCCCCUUCCUGGCCCAGCCCCUUCUUACUGUGUGGUCUUAAAGCAGGUCACUUCACCUCUCCCUAUCUUUCUCUGCAAAACCCAGAUAAUACUACUUCCAGAAGAAAGAAAGGGUUUUCUUUAAGCCCUUUGAGCUUCAGAUGGAGGCGCACAGCCCUGCCCGGGGCCGGGCCGGCCACCAUGUGAUUAGGUAAUGUGAGACGCGGCUCAUUAUGCUUUGUCUGCAAUGAAUGCAGCCCGGCCACAAAGCGCUGGAACUUUCGGUUACAUUGAAACCCCCACGGUGGAGGGACCUGUAUCCCCAGACCAGCAUCCCCAGAAGCUUCCUCUGCAAGACACAGAAGACUCCCGGGCAGUCCGGCCUUGCUGGGCAGGGCGGGAGCUAUGCCUGUGCAGAGGUGAGGAGACGUCAAUGGCUACCAUACAUUGACCUCCUACUACGUGCCAAGAAUUAUGCUAGGUAUGUUUUUCCAUCCCAAACCCUCAAGAUAACUGUAUUAAACCCUAGCUACGUUCUGAGAACAAAAGGAAACAAAAACACCCGCUAAUCUUUAUACAUUUUUCACCGUAAUGAAAGCCUAUCCAUUUGGGCCCCGUAGAUCUGAGCCCAGAAUUUUGGCCUGAGGCCUCCUCCCUGAUCCUCAGGCUUUAAGACCACACAGCAUGGGUCAGCAAACCACAAAGGGAAGACUUACUUUUCUCACCCUGACCCAGACCUCUGAAGCCUUCCUGAUGACGCCUUGGGCAGGGCUCACUCAGCUUGACAAACUUUUACCCGGAACCCUCUGAUCCCAUUUUGAUGAAUGAAGUCAAAACCCCAGUGGGUUCGCUCAUCUGGCUGCUAUAGCACAGCCAGUCAAAGAUCUCAGUACCCAUCUGGAUACUUCAUUAGGGUCCUAAGACAUCUGGGGACCAGCGAUGGAAGAAACGUGCUUGUGUCGGGCAUCAUACGCCCGCACUGUGCUGAGCCCUUUCCAAUAUGGUAUCUCGGAUAGUCCCCCACCAAAAAAAAAAAAAAAAGAAAAGAAAGAAAGAAAGAAAGAAAGAAAGAAAGAAAGAAAAGAAAACCUGCCAGAGUGGAAUUAUCAUUUCCAUUUUAUGAGUGAGGAAACAGGCUCAGAGAGGCUGAGUGACCUACCCAAGGUCACACAGGUGGGAAAUAGCAGUUCCUGAGUUUGAACCAAGAUGAUGACAUUGUCAAGGGGCAGUUUGGGAGGUUUUCAUUGCGGCCGCAUCUCCGGCAGCAACGUCCUUCCCCAUGACAUCCCCCUCCCCCAAAUAAAUACACAGUCUGAGUAAGAAGAAUAUGCAGGGACACGAUGACACUUUCGGGGUUCCCUUGCCUCCUCCCUUUCACAGAGAUGGCUGCCCCAAGCCCCUCUGCACAGACACCCUGGAGUCCCCACUAAAUCAAGAUCUGUCUGACUCUGAAGGACAGGUCCUCCCAAUACAACCAGAUGUCAGUUCUCUUCGAUUCCUACCAAGAAGACCUUUGCUUUCUUAAACCCUUUACGUAGAAGAGCCAGUCAGUCAGUGUAGGAUUCCCCUAACGGAGACCCGAACCACAGAUUCCAGAAUUUCACCAGCCUACCCAAGGUCACCAGCCCAUUAAAUGCCCCACACUUCUCAGGGAACAGUGAUGCAUCGGCAUCCUGGCGGGGAGCACGGGCGUGAAGAAGCACAGCAUUAGUGAUGUAGAUUAGAGUUUCAAUUUAUGUUGAAGCAUCUGCUGGCCAAGGUCCAGUUCAUUUUGGGUUCCAGCUAAAUUUAUUCGGCCUCAGGCGCCUGGGUGGCUCAGUCGGUUGAGCGUCUGACUUCAGCUCUGGUCGUGAUCUCCACAGUCCGUGGGUUCCAACCCCGCAUCGGGCUCUGCUGACAGCUCGGAGCAUGGAGCCUGCUUUAGA
This is a long non-coding RNA of Felis catus (domestic cat), 2239 nucleotides long. RefSeq lists it as uncharacterized. NCBI's taxonomy places the organism in Eukaryota, Metazoa, Chordata, Mammalia, Carnivora, Felidae. The record is from RefSeq and is a predicted model, not a curated record. The transcript has 3 exons.